Long non-coding RNA from Meriones unguiculatus (Mongolian gerbil), 4118 nucleotides. RefSeq lists it as uncharacterized. The transcript is spliced from 3 exons. Lineage: Eukaryota; Metazoa; Chordata; Mammalia; Rodentia; Muridae. The record is from RefSeq and is a predicted model, not a curated record.
AGUCCUGAGGAACAGUGUGCUGGACUGUUGCUCCCUGGGAACUCUCUGGAAGUGCAAAGUGUGUUCCUAGCAUUUAGGAGUGGUGAAACACAUAAGUCCUAAGACGAAGCCGUGUUGGCCAGAGGACACACCAUUAUCAGUUGACAGCCUUGAAAGUCCUUGGCAAGGUUAAACAGAAUUGGGGACCUCCGCGAAGAAAUACUGUCAAAAGUGAGUCCAAGAUAGCAGUGACCAGUGAGCACCUUAACUGAGAGGCACAUGAUCCGAAACUCUGAAAUUGAUGACAAACAGUGGACACCACUGAGCUGGUGGAUCUCCUACACUCUCAUUUGGCCCUGCAGGCCCAAAUCUGUGAGUAGAGAAUAUGGGGAACCCUGUGCUUUCUGAUUAGGCCUGGUGGUGAGUGAGUGCACCUUCAAGUGAGCAACAAGACAUCAGGUCCCUCCCACCGACACCCACACUGUGGGCAACAUAGGGAUCCUUGGGACAGUGCUCUCAACAUUGAAGCCCCUGUUCUGAGGAGUCCAAGCAAACAAUUGCUGGAGCCCAGACAGAUCUGAAAACCAGGAGGACAGUACAACAGGCCUCUGGGCCACUGAUAUAUUCAGGGCACCUGUGCAUAAGCCUUGCUCCCAGGAAUAGUGCCACCACCACACCCCCCUCCUGCACUUAUGCAUCACAGUCCAGGUACCUACAUGCUCUAGCACCCUGUCCUUAAAGGCACACUUCCAUGCACAGGACUGUACAUGCUCGUCUACACUUGUGCACCUGCAAUCUUCCUCCCUUAAUUACAGCUGAAACACCAACAUCCACUCUUGAACCAGUGGACCUCUCUCAUCUUCCUGAAGAAUACUACAGACACCAGAGAUAGAUGGACCCAGUCUGAAGUACAGAUUCCAGGCACAAUUACGGAAUGUUAUGGAUAAGCAGAUGGCUAGAGGUAGGCAUAAGAACACAUCCAAUGAAGAUCAGGACAUCAUGACUUCACCAGCAACCCCAAAAAUUAGUGGACAUGAUAAUUCAUUGGAAACACAGGAAAAUGAUCUAUUCUAGGAUUAUCCAGAUAUUAGAUGCACAUAAAGAGGAAAUGAAAAAAGCUCUCAAAGAAAUUCAGGUAAAUACAGCCAAACAAAUAAAUAGAGGAGCAGGUAGUGGCACGAGCAGAGGCAUAUAGGGAGGAAAUGAACAAAGCUCUCAAAUAAACACGGGCAAAUACAGUCAAAAAAAGUGAGGCACAAGUAGAGGCACAAUUAGUGGACUAUAGAGAGGAAACAAACAAACAAACAAAAAAAUAGAGGCGAUCAUGGAAAGAUGGGAAUCCACAUUCAAACAGAUGAAGGUUAUGGUGAGAGGAAUUAGAAUCAAUUAAAAAAACACAAACAGAGAAAAACCCUGGAGCUAGAGAACUUAGAGAAAAGAUCAGGAACCACAAAGGUUAGCAUUACCAACAGCACACAAGAGAUGGAAGAGAGAAUCUCAGGCACUGAAAAUACACUCGCAGAAAUUGAUACAUCUCUCAAAGAAAAAGUAAAAUCAGAAAAAUUUCCGAACACAAAACAUCCGAGAAAUCAAGGAUGCCAUGAAAAGAUGAAAUCUAAGAAUAAAAGGAAUAGAAGAAAAAGGAGAUUCCAGGUUCCAAGGUCCACAAAAUAUUUUCAAUAAAAUCAGAAGAAGAAUUUCCCAACUUAAAGAAAGAUGUGUUCACAAACAUACAAGAGGCAAGAGGCUUACAGAACACCAAAUAGACUAGACCAGAAAAAAAACUCCUCACUUCACAUAAUAAUCAAAAUACUAAAUCUACAGAACAAAGAAAAGAUUAAAAGAAGCAAGGGAAAAAGGCCAAAUAACAUAUAAAGGUAGACUUAUCAGAAUCACACCAGAUUUCUUAACAGAAACUAUGAAAGCCAGAAGGGCCUGGUCAUGCAGACUUUAAGAGACCACAGAUGCCAGCCCAGACUAUUAUACUAUAUAUCAACAUAGAUGGAGAAAACAAAAUCUUCCAUGACAAAACUAAACUUAAUCAUUUUUGUCCUCUAUGGUUAUAGCAGAUUUAGGAAAAUGAGUGUCUAGGAGAGAAAUUAGUGACAUUAAUAUUUAAAUAAAAGAAAAGAUAAAUGUACGAGUGUUUAAAUGGCAUUUUCUAUAUAUUUAUGAGUAGUAUAUUGAUUUGUGUCUAACAUUUGUAGGAAUGUUUGUGGUUUUGUUGACAAUGCUAUAUUGACAAAUAUGUGUGUGUAUAAAAUAAUUUAUUUGCUUUGCUUUCUUGUUAUUCACUUAUAUAGUAUGUAGAUUUCCUAAAUUUUGAGUAUGCUUGCUACAGUUUAAAAAAAAAAGAAAAAAUGGGUGAAAGAACAGAUGAGUUAGUUUACUAGCCUGUGAGUAUUCCAUAUCAUACAUUCAUCAUUUAGUUAUUCAUGAUUAUACUAUUAUAUUUACUUUUUAAUUAUGCCACAGCUAAAAAAAAAGACAAAUGUUUAAUGACUACACUAUAUUAUUUAGGUGUAGAGUCCUUUUAGCUAUUACUUUAAUAUUGAAGACUUAGUUCAUUUCUAGUAUUAUUAGAUAUUAGGUUUGAUUGAUGGACACCUUUUCUUCUUAAGUAAGUUUUGUUCUCUAUUUUAGGUUUUACUGUUUUUGUUUUUGUUUUUUUUAGUUCCUUGAAGUAUGAUAUGAAAGGGAAGCUAAAAGCUUUGUAUUUUUCCCAAGUUCUUACCAAGUUUCUGAAAAAAAAAAUUAUGUCAUGUCACCAUUUUGAUUCUGUUAGUUGUGGUGUCGUACUAAACUACAGUAUUCUCACAUUUAUUCUGUUUUAUGGUGCCUUAUUAUUAUUUUUUUUUAGAGACGGAAAAUACACAGGAAAUUUGGUAGGUAGGAAGGAGAGGGAGAUCUUAGAGAAGUUGGGGGAGGAGGAAAAAUACCAUAAAAUAUAUUGUCUUAUUUUUUUUUUUCCUUGUCAAAGUCCGGUUUAUUAUGGGGCAAAGCUUUACUUUUAAGCUCAAAGAAUAAGGAAGUAAAAAAUUGGAGGGAGAAGGGUGGGAGGCUAUCUCGUGAUUCAUUAAUGUUUUAACAUUAACUGUUAAAACCGGUCAGGUGGGGGAAUCAGGUGGGGGGAUCAGGUAGUGGAAUCAGGUGGGGGGAUCAGGUGGGGAGUGGUUCCCGGUCUCAGGAAGCAAUAUAUCCAGGUGGUCAAAGCUAAUUGCAGCCUCCGUCAUGACUACGUGCCUGGGAUUCUUGGUCUCUGGCAUCUCCCCCUUUUUUGUAAUAAAGAAAAAUGGGUGAAGUAUCUGUCUUAGGCUAUAUGAGGAGCAUCCAAGCCCAGCACCGUAAUCUGAGGUGAUCCGCCUGUCCUAGGCUAUGUGAGUUGGCUCCGCACUUGGAUUCACAAUAAUCCUGUCAUCGGCUGUGGUCACAGCUAUUGUGAGGUGACCAGCCUGUCUUAGGCUAUGUGAAUUGCCUCUAAGAUGUGGACUCACAAUACUCCCGUCGCUGGCUGCGAUCACAGCUUUCAGGUGUGCCCCUGGGCUUGGCAUCAUAAUAUUCCCGUCACUGAUAGCUCCUCAGCCAUUUAAAAUAUUUAUGGGGGCGAGACUCUCUGGCUAGCUGGGUGAAGUCAAAUGCUGUUGAGGUAUCUUCCUCGGGCACAUCAGGGGACUCCUGACUGCUAUAGGUAACAGCCAGCUGGUGGUAAUGAAUUAACGAAGAGCCUUUGUUAAGUGUUUCCACCUGUUCUUUAACAAAGGAAGUUAGUCUUUUAAAUGCCCAAGGUCCAAAGGAGAGGAGAAGGAGAAGACCCACGAAAGGACUGAGGAUAGAAGGAAGAAGGGUGGAUAAUAAAGGAGAAGUGGAAAGUCUUAAUUUUAAGAAAUAAAAAUAUAAUAAAUAGUCCUGAAAACAAGAACAUAGUUGAAGUUUAAAGUAUAACUCCAUUGAGAGAAAUCUAAAAUUGUGCUUUGCUUAAACUCAGCCUUUGUUUUAUGAAAUACAGAUUGCGAAAUGCAGCCUGUCUUUUGAAAGAUCUGUUCAGUAAGAAUAUUAUUUAAUAGUUGCUUUUGUGUGAAGCUAUUAACUUUAUAUUUCAACACAGAACAUUAUGUGAUUAAACCUUUCUGAUUGCUACA